This 440-nucleotide ribosomal RNA is filed under the name uncultured bacterium. RNAcentral describes it as "partial 16S ribosomal RNA". It matches the Rfam family "Bacterial small subunit ribosomal RNA", at positions 338 to 795 of the family's 1533-position model. The record is from RNAcentral.
CCUACGGGAGGCUGCAGUAGGGAAUAUUGCUCAAUGGGGGAAACCCUGAUGCAGCAACGCCGCGUGGAGGAUGAAGGUUUUCGGAUCGUAAAGUCCUUUUGUUAGAGAAGAUAAUGACGGUAUCUAACGAAUAAGCACCGGCUAACUCCGUGCCAGCAGCCGCGGUAAUACGGAGGGUGCAAGCGUUACUCGGAAUCACUGGGCGUAAAGAGCGCGUAGGCGGGAUAGCAAGUCAGAAGUGAAAUCCUAUGGCUUAACCAUAGAACUGCAUUUGAAACUGUUAUUCUAGAGUAUGGGAGAGGUAGGUGGAAUUCUUGGUGUAGGGGUAAAAUCCGUAGAGAUCAAGAGGAAUACUCAUUGCGAAGGCGACCUGCUAGAACAUAACUGACGCUGAUGCGCGAAAGCGUGGGGAGCAAACAGGAUUAGAUACCCCAGUAGUC